AAUAGCUGAUUUUUUCCUAAAACUAUUUAAGGGAUGAAAGGAUGUAUUUUUAGAAGUGAAUAAGCCUUUAGGAAGAGAGAUGAAACAUCUUCAAGAACCUCAGGCAAGAAAGAGCGGCUGUGCUUCACUUAUUAGACAUGACAAAAGGAGUCAUGUGCAAUAACAGCAGUCUUGUUUGUCAUGUUCUAUCAUGGCUAUCAAGUGUUCUCAGUGGUCUUUAAACUGUGAUUAUGAAGUUUUAAGCCAAAAUCACGUUACCUGUGUCAUUUUCAAGGGCUUUUCCUCUUCAGAGCUCCAUUAACUCAUUAGCAAUUCGCCUCUGAGUCGUAGGCGGAGACAGCGCUGCUCUGCACACUUCUCCUCGAGUUAGCUUGUAGCCUAACAUUGCCAGUGUUAGAAACAGGUAACAUAGGAGUGAUUCAGUUCUCGGACACUAAUGUCUUUAGGGGCAUGAUGAAAGCUAAUAUCAUAAUUAGCUUUCUUAUGAGCAUUUCAAUCCACUAACACACAGACUUGUUCCGCCAUUGUCCUCUCUAUUUCUUCUUUAUAUGCAGAGUGUGGCCCGUGUAGCAGGGCUCUGGGGGCGGAGCUUGGAUUGGUUGCAUAUGAAAUCUCACUGUUUCUGAACCUGCCGUUUGGCAGAAAUACCCAGACAAGCAAUUUCCCAUUUAGUUUUCUCAUGAUAUGUCCUGUAGCAUCAGAAAAAUGCAAAAUGAACACAUAAAUAACAAGAAAAACACGAUUUUCAUCGCAGUAGGUCUUUAAUGAUCGUAGGGACCCAGUGUUGUAAUUGAAAUCAAAACCUAUAAGAAUUGAAUAAAUCAAUCAAUUAAACUUCUUUGUUUUAGAGUCCAACAUAAAUGCUUUAUGAGAGGUACCAAGGGGUGUUCUGAGGGAUGGCUGACAGAUUUCUGAAAAACAGUUUUUUCUGCUUGUUAUAAGGAAUUGCAACCUGGAUUGGAGAAAGGGAAAGAGGGACUACUCCAUUAGAAGAUAAGUAAGUAUAUCACUUGUGGUCCUCCUCUCCAAACUUACUUAAAUGUUAAAGACUCUGAUUUGUUCAUUUUGUUGAGUUUCAUGUCUCUUACCCUCUCCAAAUAUGCACAGCAGCAUGUCGGAGUCGUAUCUUUUUCCAUCUAGAGCACAUUUAUUUUGGCUGCCAGAACAACAUGACUUGUAUGUCAAAAUGUUUUCCCUGAUAACAUGUUAUCUCAACAGCCCAUCAGCUUGUGAGAAAGGCCUGUAAAUGACGUAAUGUUUCGCAAGGAUCCAAAAAUCAAGAUAGGACAGGCUGAUAUUGGCAGCCACCAGUAAGAGUCCUUAUCUGACGAGAGAGAGACGAUACGAUACUUUGUCUGAUCUUAGAUGGCGAUCUUAUGGAGAGCAAAAAAUAAAAAACACAAAAACUGUUGGCAAGUACACUUGAGCGGCUGUAAAGAAUACUUUGGGGGGUGGAAAAUACACUGGAUAGCCCACCCAGGUGUCAUCCUUGUGUGGGAAACACUGAAAAAAUCUAUAAUCAACUUCAGGAGUUACAUUUUCUAACAUACCAGUGAGCUCUCUGUCAUUUGACAGUGAUAAAUACUGAAAAAAGUGACUCAAGUCCAGUGAAAGUAGAGAAUAUCAAGCUGAUGUUUGAUUGGUUAUAUGGGCAGUGGAUUAGAGACCGGUGAUUGAUUAUUAAUGCACAGCAGUCUUGUCUUAAUGCUGCAUCUCUUGGUAGGCCUUACUAAUCAAUUGGUGGUCAAUGGAAAAAAAAAGUGUCAAACCACAACAAUUAUUCACACAAAUGCUCAGUCAGUAUGUUUACCGGUUUUCAGUUUGAAACCCUGGAGCCAAAAGGUGUUGGGUUACCAUGUUGGAGAGGUUUAUUCUGAUUAGACAUACCAACCUGUUAGUGUUGAAGACCUAACAACUAUAAACCAUAACACAAUUAAAAGGAAUGAGCUAUGUGACAAGAAUCACAGUAGUUAGAGAGACUAAAACUAUUUUUGUGCCAUACUGUAAAAAUGUGUAACUCGGUUAGAAUACAGAAACAUUUUUGUGGCAAAGGCUCAAGGUCCUGAACUUUGAGAGACAGCCUCAGCUGGAGCCUUGAGCGUCUUUUGCACUGAUUUCAUUCAUGAACUUCAGAGGCUGCCGUACAGACGUAAACGAUCCAUGAAUGAGUCCAGACAUACCAUCUUGUCUAUAUGCGUUACCAUAAUUGACACAAAAUAAAGGGUCCUCUUGCCGCUCUAAACAAGAUCAGAGAAGGCAAAGAUGAAUGCAAACACAAAUGCAAAAUCUACAGACAUCUAACAACCCUGAUGAGAAGCCCUGAACCUCACAAGCCAACGUAAAUCUGUCAUGCAUUUGAUUAAAGCCUAUAGAAAAACAAUAUUUAUCAGAUAAAGAAAGCAGGAGAUAAACCUCUAGAAAGAGCGUAAAAAUAAACUGUAUACAACACGGAUGUGGUCCGCUAAUGUGCUGACAUGUUCUAAUGGAAAAAUUGGGUCUGGACUCAUUAAGGGGUUAAACACAUCUUAGUAGAAGCUAACACGCAAGUCUGAUCUCAGUCUCUGUGGUCAAAAUCUGGUUUCUUGUAAUCUUCAGAGGAAUCUUUGUUAUGCACCAAACAUCUGUGUGUCAGUAUCCUCCCAGAGGCACACACAUGUACACACAGACACAGACACACACACACACACAGGUCAGCACACUGAGGAUACUCACAUCUUACAGUGCUGAAAUGAUAGUCCUGUUGAAAGUUUGCUUUUCUUGCUGCCACAAGGACACAUAUGUGCACGAUUAAAGUUAUGCUGAGGUCAAAUCCUUGAAGUCUGUCGUUGAAAUGAGCCAAGGCAGCAGAACUGACCCAGACUGUGAAAUUACAGCCCAUAUAAUACCACCAGAACCCGUCCAGAUUCUAAAUAUCCAGUCAGAAAAGACAGAAAAUGAAGGGCAGAGGUAGAGCUGAUCAGACAUUUUUACAUCACAUAUGUUUAAAAUGUUUUUUAAAAGUCAUAUAAUCAUGUAUUUUGUAGUAUUAACCACAUUAUGGCUGUUGCAGCAUCCUGGUAUUGAUAGUAACCCUCUUUAUUUCAAAAAAGAGGAAAUACUGAUGUCAGAUUGAAUUUAAGGCUACAGUUUUACCGCUCUAGGGCUGGGCGAUAUGGGAAAAAGUUUAUCACUAUAUAUGUUUUCAUAUCAGUCGAUAUCAAUAUAUAUCACGAUAUAAAAAAAUGAAAUUUAACAGUGCUUAUUGUUAGUAUGUCUUUUGCAAUACAAUAAGCUACUGCAUCUGUUAGGUCUUUGUUUCUGUUCGGCGUUUUGUCAUAAGGCGUUGCACUAGAGAAAGAGGACUGACUGGUCGGCUGUUUCAGCUGCACAGGCGCCAUGGGCUCCUUGCUCCGCUCAGGGUUUGUAACCUUUUGCAUUAUGCGUGCUCUUUUCAUUAUGUGUACUCAUCAUAAUUUGCAGUGCACAUUACUCUACUUCAUGUCCAACU
RNAcentral lists this long non-coding RNA (3487 nucleotides) under Xyrichtys novacula (pearly razorfish). The record is from RNAcentral. Lineage: Eukaryota; Metazoa; Chordata; Actinopteri; Labriformes; Labridae.